Molecule: long non-coding RNA, 974 nt
Filed under: Citrus sinensis (sweet orange)
Lineage: Eukaryota; Viridiplantae; Streptophyta; Magnoliopsida; Sapindales; Rutaceae
Description: long non-coding RNA (CSIN_LNC001021)
Source: RNAcentral
UGCAGUUUAUUUUAUGUGUAUGUGAAAUAUAUUAUAUCCCAAUACUUACAAAAAGCUUACGAAUCCAUAGUUGCAAUGCGCAUUUGAUUCUCUCUUAGCAUUAUCAUCUUCUACACAUUCAUUGCAAUCACCAGAAUCUCAUUCCUUUCGCUUCCAGCUACACCCCCAAUCCAUUACACAACCUAUUUACACAUUCUCUAUUAAAUUGUUGAUUUUUUUUUAACAAAUAAGCAUGAUUAUUGCCUUCUCCUGUCAGCUAAAAUGUAUUUAUUCAAAUCGUAGAUGCCAUUUAAAUACGUCAGAAAUUACUUACACCUAUUACAUCAAAAUUUGUUGACAAACUGUAUUUAAAAACAAGCAAACUUACAUUCCACAAGCGAUUCAACCAUCGUUGUUCCAUUCAAAAACUGUGAUGAGCUUAAUGACCGCUUGUUCAUGGAAGCCACAGAAAAUGUACAUUCUUUACGGCCUUAUAGUCCACAUAUUUUUUGUUUUAUGUUUAUAAUUUUUUGUUUAUGUCAAGUUGUACAGGAAUGAGCAGACCAUUGCGUUUCAAGAAUACCAAAUAAAAUAUUCUACAUUUUCAUGCCUACGCACCAUACGGCAAUUACUAACCAUACAAUAUUUUCAAACAAAUUCUCUUCCCAUGAUGAAUGUUUCAUUUCAUCAGUUCACAAAUUACUAACUUACUCACAUUUUCUACUUCGUCCUGCAAAUUUCCAUUUCACAACCCAACCUAACAUCAUAUGCCCAUUUCUACUACUUCAAUCCUGCCCAAUCAAUUACAAUCAAAUAAUUAUGCACAUGCACACAAAUUAAUAGCCAUACAUGAAUAUUCAUCAUCAACACAUACCUCAACGUCGCAGUAAGCCACUUGAUGAGCAGUGAUUGAUACGAAAGUCCCACUUUAUAUGCUCUGCAAAUACAUCUCUCCACACACUUUCCCACUGUAUAUGUCUACUCGGUUUACUCCU